Molecule: ribosomal RNA, 429 nt
Filed under: Bacteroidota bacterium
Lineage: Bacteria; Pseudomonadati; Bacteroidota
Description: Bacteroidetes bacterium partial 16S ribosomal RNA
Rfam family: Bacterial small subunit ribosomal RNA
Source: RNAcentral
UAGGGAAUCUUCCGCAAUGGACGCAAGUCUGACGGAGCAACGCCGCGUGAGUGAAGAAGGAUUUCGGUUCGUAAAACUCUGUUGUUAGAGAAGAACAGCGCAUAGAGUAACUGUUAUGCGUGUGACGGUAUCUAACCAGAAAGCCACGGCUAACUACGUGCCAGCAGCCGCGGUAAUACGUAGGUGGCAAGCGGUGUCCGGAUUUAUUGGGCGUAAAGCGAGCGCAGGCGGUCAAUUAAGUCUGAUGUGAAAGCCCCCGGCUCAACCGGGGAGGGUCAUUGGAAACUGGUUGACUUGAGUGCAGAAGAGGAGAGUGGAAUUCCAUGUGUAGCGGUGAAAUGCGUAGAUAUAUGGAGGAACACCAGUGGCGAAAGCGACUCUCUGGUCUGUAACUGACGCUGAGGCUCGAAAGCGUGGGUAGCAAACAGG